This 468-nucleotide ribosomal RNA is filed under the name uncultured bacterium. RNAcentral describes it as "partial 16S ribosomal RNA". It matches the Rfam family "Bacterial small subunit ribosomal RNA", at positions 28 to 507 of the family's 1533-position model. The record is from RNAcentral.
GACGAACGCUGGCGGCGUGCUUAACACAUGCAAGUCGAACGGAAAGGCCCUGCUUUUGUGGGGUGCUCGAGUGGCGAACGGGUGAGUAACACGUGAGUAACCUGCCCUUGACUUUGGGAUAACUUCAGGAAACUGGGGCUCAUACCGCAUAGGAGCUCCUGCUGCAUGGUGGGGGUUGGUAAGUUUCGGCGGUUGUGGAUGGACUCGCGGCUUAUCAGCUUGUUGGUGGGGUAGUGGCUUACCAAGGCUUUGACGGGUAGCCGGCCUGAGAGGGUGACCGGCCACAAUGCUACUGAGAGACGGCCCAGUCGCGUACGGGAGGCAGCAGUGGGGAAUAUUGCACAAUGGGCGGAAGCCUGAUGCAGAAACGCCGCGUGCGGGAUGACGGCCUUCGGGUGGUAAACCGCUUUCGCCUGUGACGAAGCGUGAGUGACGGUAAUGGGUAAAGAAGCACCGGCUAACUACGUG